This 501-nucleotide ribosomal RNA is filed under the name uncultured bacterium. Its description in RNAcentral is "partial 16S ribosomal RNA". It matches the Rfam family "Bacterial small subunit ribosomal RNA", at positions 29 to 523 of the family's 1533-position model. The record is from RNAcentral.
AUUGAACGCUGGCGGCAUGCCUUACACAUGCAAGUCGAACGGCAGCACGGGUGCUUGCACCUGGUGGCGAGUGGCGAACGGGUGAGUAAUACAUCGGAACGUACCUUAUCGUGGGGGAUAACGCAGCGAAAGCUGUGCUAAUACCGCAUACGCCCUGAGGGGGAAAGCGGGGGAUCGCAAGACCUCGCGCGAUUAGAGCGGCCGACGCCUGAUUAGCUUGUUGGUGGGGUAAAAGCCCACCAAGGCGACGAUCAGUAGCUGGUCUGAGAGGACGAUCAGCCACACUGGGACUGAGACACGGCCCAGACUCCUACGGGAGGCAGCAGUGGGGAAUUUUGGACAAUGGGGGCAACCCUGACCCAGCAAUGCCGCGUGAGUGAAGAAGGCCUUCGGGUUGUAAAGCUCUUUUGUCAGGGAAGAAACACCGGCUCUAACACAGUCUGGGAAUGACGGUACCUGAAGAAUAAGCACCGGCUAACUACGUGCCAGCAGCCGCAGUAA